RNAcentral lists this ribosomal RNA (445 nucleotides) under uncultured bacterium. RNAcentral's name for it is "partial 16S ribosomal RNA". It matches the Rfam family "Bacterial small subunit ribosomal RNA", at positions 354 to 796 of the family's 1533-position model. The record is from RNAcentral.
GUGAGGAAUAUUGCGCAAUGGAGGCAACUCUGACGCAGCCAUGCCGCGUGCAGGAAGAAGGCGCUACGCGUUGUAAACUGCUUUUAACCGGGAAGAAACCCCAGGACGUGUCCUGGGUUGACGGUACCGGAGGAAUAAGCACCGGCUAACUUCGUGCCAGCAGCCGCGGUAAUACGAAGGGUGCAAGCGUUAUCCGGAUUCAUUGGGUUUAAAGGGUGCGUAGGCGGAGCGUUAAGUCAGCGGUGAAAUCCUGCAGCUUAACUGUAGACUUGCCAUUGAUACUGGCGCUCUUGAGUGCGCUUGAAGUGGGCGGAAUGUGCCGUGUAGCGGUGAAAUGCUUAGAUAUGGCACAGAACACCAAUUGCGAAGGCAGCUCACUAAGGCGAUACUGACGCUGAGGCACGAAAGCGUGGGGAUCGAACAGGAUUAGAAACCCCUGUAGUCC